RNAcentral lists this transfer RNA (62 nucleotides) under Loxodonta africana (African savanna elephant). It matches the Rfam family "tRNA". Rfam says of the family: Transfer RNA (tRNA) molecules are approximately 80 nucleotides in length. Lineage: Eukaryota; Metazoa; Chordata; Mammalia; Proboscidea; Elephantidae. The record is from Rfam by way of RNAcentral.
GCAGUGGUGGUUCAGUGGUAGAGUCCAUGAAGGAGACCUGGGUUCGAUUCCCGGCCAGUGCA